AAGCUACUAAGAGCACACGGAGGAUGCCUUGGUACAUGGAGGCGAUGAAGGACGUGGUAAGCUGCGAUAAGCUUCGGGUAGGUGCACACAACUGCUAAUCCGGAGAUUUCCGAAUGGGGCAACCCGUUUUGAGUUAUAUCAAAACACUUUCAUCUGAAUAUAUAGGAUGAAAAGAGCUAACGAGGUGAACUGAUACAUCUAAGUAACCUUAGGAAUAGAAAACAAAAGUGAUUCCCCUAGUAGUGGCGAACGAAAAGGGAAGAGCCCAAACUAAUACUGUGUCAAGUCUGCAAAUUUUGCAGUAUUAGGGUUGUGGGAUUAUUAUUAAUCC
Molecule: ribosomal RNA, 331 nt
Filed under: Alexandrium tamarense
Lineage: Eukaryota; Dinophyceae; Gonyaulacales; Pyrocystaceae
Description: partial Bacterial large subunit ribosomal RNA
Rfam family: Bacterial large subunit ribosomal RNA
Source: RNAcentral